Molecule: ribosomal RNA, 62 nt
Filed under: Orbilia rhopalota
Lineage: Eukaryota; Fungi; Ascomycota; Orbiliomycetes; Orbiliales; Orbiliaceae
Description: partial 28S large subunit ribosomal RNA
Rfam family: Eukaryotic large subunit ribosomal RNA
Source: RNAcentral
UGACCUCAGAUCAGACAAGGAUACCCGCUGAACUUAAGCAUAUCAAUAAGCGGAGGAGAAAG